CCUACGGGGGGCAGCAGUAGGGAAUAUUGCUCAAUGGGGGAAACCCUGCAGCAGCAACGCCGCGUGGAGGAUGAAGGUUUUCGGAUUGUAAACUCCUUUUGUUAGAGAAGAUAAUGACGGUAUCUAACGAAUAAGCACCGGCUACCUCCUGGCCAGCAGUCGCGGUAAUACGGAGGGUGCAAGCGUUACUCGGAAUCACUGGGCGUAAAGAGCGCGUAGGGGGGAUAGCAAGUCAGAUGUGAAAUCCUUUGGCUUAACCAUAGAACUGCAUUUGAAACUGUUAUUCUAGAGUAUGGGAGAGGUAGGUGGAAUUCUUGGUGUAGGGGUAAAAUCCGUAGAGAUCAAGAGGAAUACUCAUUGCGAAGGCGACCUGCUAGAACAUAACUGACGCUGAUGCGCGAAAGCGUGGGGAGCAAACAGGAUUAGAUACCCGGGUAGUC
RNAcentral lists this ribosomal RNA (440 nucleotides) under uncultured bacterium. Its description in RNAcentral is "partial 16S ribosomal RNA". It matches the Rfam family "Bacterial small subunit ribosomal RNA", at positions 338 to 795 of the family's 1533-position model. The record is from RNAcentral.